GAGUUUGAUCCUGGCUCAGAUUGAACGCUGGCGGCAUGCCUUACACAUGCAAGUCGAACGGCAGCACGGGGGCAACCCUGGUGGCGAGUGGCGAACGGGUGAGUAAUAUAUCGGAACGUACCCAGUAGUGGGGGAUAACUAUCCGAAAGGAUAGCUAAUACCGCAUACGAUCUGUGGAUGAAAGCAGGGGAUCUUCGGACCUUGUGCUAUUGGAAUGGCCGAUAUCUGAUUAGCUAGUUGGUAGGGUAAAAGCCUACCAAGGCGACGAUCAGUAGCUGGUCUGAGAGGACGACCAGCCACACUGGAACUGAGACACGGUCCAGACUCCUACGGGAGGCAGCAGUGGGGAAUUUUGGACAAUGGGGGCAACCCUGAUCCAGCAAUGCCGCGUGAGUGAAGAAGGCCCUCGGGUUGUAAAGCUCUUUUGUCAGGGAAGAAACGGUGAUCUCUAAUAUAGAUUGCUAAUGACGGUACCUGAAGAAUAAGCACCGGCUAACUACGUGCCAGCAGCCGCGGUAAUACGUAGGGUGCAAGCGUUAAUCGGAAUUAUUGGGCGUAAAGCGUGCGCAGGCGGUUUUGUAAGUCUGAUGUGAAAUCCCCGGGCUCAACCUGGGAACUGCAUUGGAGACUGCAAGGCUAGAGUGUGUCAGAGGGGGGUAGAAUUCCACGUGUAGCAGUGAAAUGCGUAGAGAUGUGGAGGAAUACCGAUGGCGAAGGCAGCCCCCCUGGGAUAACACUGACGCUCAUGCACGAAAGCGUGGGGAGCAAACAGGAUUAGAUACCCUGGUAGUCCACGCCCUAAACGAUGUCUACUAGUUGUCGGGACUUAAUUGUCUUGGUAACGCAGCUAACGCGUGAAGUAGACCGCCUGGGGAGUACGGUCGCAAGAUUAAAACUCAAAGGAAAUUGACGGGGACCCGCACAAGCGGUGGAUGAUGUGGAUUUAAUUUCGAUGCAACGCGAAAAACCUUUACCCUACCCUUGGACAUUGGCAGAAAUCCCUGA
This 1005-nucleotide ribosomal RNA is filed under the name uncultured Pseudomonadota bacterium. Its description in RNAcentral is "bacterial SSU rRNA". It matches the Rfam family "Bacterial small subunit ribosomal RNA", at positions 9 to 1004 of the family's 1533-position model. The record is from RNAcentral. Lineage: Bacteria; Pseudomonadati; Pseudomonadota.